This 382-nucleotide ribosomal RNA is filed under the name Mytilus galloprovincialis (Mediterranean mussel). RNAcentral's name for it is "partial 16S ribosomal RNA". It matches the Rfam family "Bacterial large subunit ribosomal RNA", at positions 1937 to 2566 of the family's 2925-position model. The record is from RNAcentral. Lineage: Eukaryota; Metazoa; Mollusca; Bivalvia; Mytilida; Mytilidae.
UAACGUGAGCGUCCUAAGGUAGCGCGAUAAUUUGCUUUUCAAUUGAAGGAUGGUAUGAAAGGGCUAACGAAGAAGGUGCUGUGUCUAAAAAUUCAAUUUAAACUAACUUUAAGGUGAAGAGGCCUUUAUGUAAAAGAAGGACGACAAGACCCUAUGAAGCUUUAUCUUAAUUGGAGCUUUCAGGCUCUUAUACGAUUUUGAUGGGAGAUCAGUAGAAAUAAGUCCUCUACUAUUAUAUUAAUCUUACUAGUAUUUCCUAACUUUAUAUGUGUGACUAGCUACUCUAGGGAUAACAGCGCAAUUUCUCCCGAAAGAUGGUAUUGGAGGGGAAGAUUGCGACCUCGAUGUUGGCUUUAGAUACCCUAGAGGCGUAGAAGCUUCU